Long non-coding RNA from Hirundo rustica (Barn swallow), 2570 nucleotides. RefSeq lists it as uncharacterized. Lineage: Eukaryota; Metazoa; Chordata; Aves; Passeriformes; Hirundinidae. The transcript is spliced from 4 exons. The record is from RefSeq and is a predicted model, not a curated record.
GAUCCGCAGCUGACCGCUCACUCUCUUGCUUCAGUGAUCUGCCAUGAGCUCUGCAGCUCGAUGCGUGCACGUGGCUUUUGCAAGCCCGAGUAAACUUAACCCUUUCUUAGCAACACAGAAUUUUUAAAGCACAAUUCUUCCUCGAGAGAAAGAAGAAAGAAAACCAGAAAGUACAUGGAACAGACACUGCAUGAAGUCAGUUAGAUGAGACGUGAAAGAACUAAUAAUAUUGGAAUAGGUUUGAAGAAGUGGACAUCUUUAACCAGACUCUUUUAAGCAUUCAGAGGACCACGAAUUUGCCAGCAGCCAGAAGUGGACGGAAGACAGAGAAGAGGCUGUAGGUUACAGGUAUAAAAGAUGUUGUUGGAAGAAAGAUUACCGCCUCACACUCCACCAGCUUUUGUUACUGAAACAGUAGUAUCUGAUGGGAUUUUGCUGUGGGUAAGGAACCAUUGAGGUUUCUUCUGACUUCAGAGCCAAAAAUACACUCAUAUGACAACUCCCUGUCUUUCUCUCCACCAUGACCAUUUUUUGGUAUAACAUUCUUGAGUCCAGUUCAGGGCUCUCCAGUACAAGGGAAAAAAUUACAUAGUACGGAGAAUCCUAAAAAGGGCCACUAAGGUGACUAAGGAUCUGGAGCAUAGCCAUGAGGAAAGGCUGAGAAAGCUGGGACUAUUAACCCUAAAGAAAAAAUCCAGGAGGGAAUUUACCAAUCCAUAUAAAUACCUAAAUGGAGGGUGCAAAACCAAUAGAGUCAGACUCUUUUCAGUGGUGCCCAGUGGGAGGACCAGAGGCAAGGGGCAGAAACUGAAACACAGGAAGUUCCCUCUGAACAUCAGGAAAGAGAUUUUUACUGAAACUUCUCCUGAAAAAUCAGAGAUCAUCAGAACAAUUUUUCACUUUUGUUGAAAUCAGUGGGGAAACUCCAGCUGCCUUAAUUGGGUUACAACUUUCACUCUCUCAUGUUUUAAAGUAUUUCAGUUUCAGUGUUAGUAAAACAUAGAGAAACCUUUGAAUCAAAUAAUGAAACCCUCUCCUCUCCUAAAAAAAUAGAAUAUUUGGUACCUGUGAAAAUAUUUUUUUACUGGUAGGGUGACCAAGAUCUGGAAUGGGCUGCACAGAGAACUUGUGGAGUCUCUCUUCUUGGAGGCAUUCAAAAGGUGGUGGACAGCAUCCUGAGCAACCAGGUGUAGCUGGACUUGAUUAAUCAAAUUAAACAAAUGAACAAUAUUGAUCAGUAAAAUAAAUAUAAAAUUUCAGUGAAUACUGAACUUCUGAAAAAGCACUGUAUAACCAUAUAUAACAUUUCCAAAGUGUUUUUUCUUUUCCAAGUAAGUCUUAUAUAUUUUCUUGUCUGAGACCUGUGGGAUGCAUAGCAACAUUUUAUAUUCUCUCAUAUGUUUAUGUAGGCUGAAUUUUUUUUUGUUUGUUUUUAAAUUAUAAACAUUAAAUAUUUCUGGGUUUAUAGAAAUAAAUAAGGGGGGACUAGGUUGUGAAAAAUAAAUUCAGAGUGUUCACAUAUCUUUCAUAGAUGCUAAAAGUGAAAGCUCCUUUUGAAAAGCCAAUGAAUUUUUUAUCGUUUACUUCAUAUCCAGCUUAAUUUCAAUAACUGAGCUGUUUAUUCUCUCUGUAAUAGAUCACUAAAUCAUCUCUUUCUCUAUUAUCAAGUUUGUGCUUGUAAUGAGAGAAAGUUUUGGUUGGUGUUAUAAAGUUUGCUUACAAAAAAGACUGUUCAUAGUAUAUACUACUCAUCCCUGGAUGUGAAAUGUGGUUUCCAAGAAUCCCGUUUGCAGUAGAAUUUUUAAAUGCUGAUCUAGUUUGUGAAGCAAUAGAGUUGCAUUUAUCCAACUGCUCCUUCCCCUUGGAAUGUGGCAAUAUAGUAACUCAGCUCCAGUACUUGCCUCUGUUAAACAAAUAAUCGAUAAUUUGGGUUACUCCCAAUGGAAUAUUUAGUUGACUAAUCCAUUUCCAUAAAAGUCAAAGUCAGAAGAAAACAACAAAGAAAACAUGCAUCCUUUUCUCCUUAACUUUAAGGUACUACUUGUUAUUUUCCAACAGUCAGUUUUAGACAGAGGCAAGUAGGGACAUUUAAAGAGUAAUUUCAGUUUAAUUUACAAGUGAGUUUUGGAGCAGAUGUCUUUGUUUUCUUCAGCACACACUUUGAAUGGAACUUAUUGAGAAGACAAAGAACUUGUUGAGAAAUCCAUGUUUGCCUGGCACCCAUACAGCUGAUGGAUGUACAGUUCAAAGUGAAGUUGUUUUGAAAGACUUAAUGUGUACAUCACAUUCCCAGUACCAGCUGUUCACUCUGCAAGCCCAAUCCUAUUUAUCUGCAUUACUUGCUAUUGUGGACAUGUUCAGUGAAUCCAGUUCAGUUUGGGCACACAGUAACUGCACAUGUGCAACACAGAUGGCAAAUGAAUAUGAACAAAUUACUCCACAUUUUUAAACAUGUUGACUUAUGGAUACCUACAGCAUGUUCAAUGGGAGUGAUCUGUCCAUGCCUAAUGGACAUUUCUAUGGGUAUUGAACAACUGUCCAAACAGACACAGCCUUUACUCCAGCUGGGA